RNAcentral lists this ribosomal RNA (483 nucleotides) under uncultured Bacteroidales bacterium. RNAcentral's name for it is "bacterial SSU rRNA". It matches the Rfam family "Bacterial small subunit ribosomal RNA", at positions 223 to 703 of the family's 1533-position model. Lineage: Bacteria; Pseudomonadati; Bacteroidota; Bacteroidia; Bacteroidales. The record is from RNAcentral.
CGAUGGGGAUGCGUUCCAUUAGAUAGUAGGCGGGGUAACGGCCCACCUAGUCUUCGAUGGAUAGGGGUUCUGAGAGGAAGGUCCCCCACAUUGGAACUGAGACACGGUCCAAACUCNUACGGGAGGCAGCAGUGAGGAAUAUUGGUCAAUGGGCGAGAGCCUGAACCAGCCAAGUAGCGUGAAGGAUGACUGCCCUAUGGGUUGUAAACUUCUUUUAUAAAGGAAUAAAGUCGGGUAUGUAUACCCGUUUGCAUGUACUUUAUGAAUAAGGAUCGGCUAACUCCGUGCCAGCAGCCGCGGUAAUACGGAGGAUCCGAGCGUUAUCCGGAUUUAUUGGGUUUAAAGGGAGCGUAGAUGGAUGUUUAAGUCAGUUGUGAAAGUUUGCGGCUCAACCGUAAAAUUGCAGUUGAUACUGGAUAUCUUGAGUGCAGUUGAGGCAGGCGGAAUUCGUGGUGUAGCGGCGAAAUGCUUAGAUAUCACGAA